UAGUGAGUUUGAUCCUGGCUCAGGAUGAACGCUGGCGGUCUGCUUAACACAUGCAAGUCGAACGCAAGUAGAAAUACUUGAGUGGCGGACGGGUGAGUAACGCGUGAGAAUCUGCCUUCUGGUCGGGGACAACCACUGGAAACGGUGGCUAAUACCGGAUAUGCCUAUGGGUGAAAGAUUUAUCGCCUCGGGAUGAGCCCGCGUAGGAUUAGCUAGUUGGAGGGGUAACCGGCCCACCAAGGCGACGAUCCUUAGCUGGUCUGAGAGGAUGAUCAGCCACACGUGGGACUGAGA
RNAcentral lists this ribosomal RNA (294 nucleotides) under uncultured bacterium. RNAcentral describes it as "partial 16S ribosomal RNA". It matches the Rfam family "Bacterial small subunit ribosomal RNA", at positions 1 to 324 of the family's 1533-position model. The record is from RNAcentral.